Long non-coding RNA from Cavia porcellus (domestic guinea pig), 1286 nucleotides. RefSeq lists it as uncharacterized. The record is from RefSeq and is a predicted model, not a curated record. The transcript has 2 exons. NCBI's taxonomy places the organism in Eukaryota, Metazoa, Chordata, Mammalia, Rodentia, Caviidae.
AGAGAGAGAGAGAGAGAGAGAAUAAAACACUAUCUCCUCAAUUCUAUAGUCAAUCUCUCAAUUCAGAAAAAAAGGAAGCAGAGAAGAUCCAUAUCAAAACAGCAGAAACAAACUAUUGCUAUUGUUUACUAAGAUUUGAGGUAUUUUUCUACCAGAAUAAGACAGAAAGAAACAAAGAAGACAAAAGAAAGCCCACAAAGAUGAUCUCUGGCUCCGUUUAUUUCACAGAAGGGAAAUUGUUUAAUGAUUGCUUAUUUUGUACAAACUGUUAACAGCCCAUGAAGCCAAACAAUUCCUCCCUCUUUUCUGGCAGGGGGAAAGCCAUGGAAUCUGCUGCCAGCAUGGCCUGACCUCAUCGAACUUCUGCAAGAUUCCUGUGAACUCCAACCGGCCAGCCUGACCCCAGAGUCUUGCUAAAUUGCUGAAUUACCCAGCGGGGCUUGAAGUAGCCUUCCAGAGAGACAUGUACUACCAUGUAUGGCUAAAAGAAGACAUUUUUUAAUAAAAGAAGAAAUUCUUUGGAAAUGCUGCACAGUAGAUGAAUGUGUGGCUGUGCAUAGGGUGAACUGCAGGGUGGAACACAGAGCACAGUGGUUCAGGAGAGUAGCCCUCGGACGGAAGUGGAGACUGUGGACCCAAGAAGGAAUGGGGACAGGAAGAAGGUCGGCCAGGGACUGGCUGCAGAGAUGAGAGAAACAGCUGAGUCCAGUGAAGAUGAAAGAGGAUAAUAAUGCUGGUGCACAGUUUUGGAUAAUUCAAAACCUAAAUGUGAAAUGACAAAUAUAAAAACCAAGAGAAAAAAAAUCAACUUUGUUAUCUUGUCAUUUGUAGCAGGAGAUACUCAGACCCAUCAUUUCUGUGCAGUAAAUGCUAUCAUCUGAAUAAACUGAGUGUUUUUGCUCCUUACAUCCUACAGAUGCUUAACCUGCACGCUUUCAGUGUUUCUAGUCCAGCUAGAUCCGGCCACCAAACUGACUACUGGCCAUGCUGUUCCAGAAGUUUUAUGAAUAAGUGAAAAUACAUAUUCACAUAUGCAAGUAGAGGACAAUGGAAGAGUGAGCCAGGCAUGGGAUACGGUAAAGAAGCAGCUGGACAGGGGCUGGGGAUUUAGCUCAGCAGCAUAAGCACCUGUCUUGCAAGCAGGUGGUCGUGAGUUUGAUCCCCGGUACUGGUAAAAAAAAAAAAAAAAGAAGCAGCUGGAGAAGCAGGACAAUGCCUCACUGCAGACAGCAACAGAGUCAAGCCUCAACAUUGAUGAGCGGCAGAAUCACCUUGUGGCUUUUUAA